AUGGACCCCGCGUCCACUGCGGUUGUGAGCGCGCCGUCAGCGCCCACCUGACAGUUGCUCGCGACGUGGUGUCAGCC
Molecule: small RNA, 77 nt
Filed under: Xanthomonas oryzae pv. oryzicola
Lineage: Bacteria; Pseudomonadati; Pseudomonadota; Gammaproteobacteria; Lysobacterales; Lysobacteraceae
Description: sX9 sRNA
Rfam family: Xanthomonas sRNA sX9
Source: RNAcentral